UUUUAUAAUUAAUUUAAUUGAAAUUAUAUAUUAAUUAAUAAAUUAAAAUUAAAUUAAUUAUUUUAGUUGGGGUGAUAUAAAAAUAUAUAAAACUUUUUAUUUUAAUUAACAUAUAUAAGUGAAUUUAUGAUCCCAUUAAUAA
RNAcentral lists this ribosomal RNA (142 nucleotides) under Ochropacha duplaris. Its description in RNAcentral is "partial large subunit ribosomal RNA". Lineage: Eukaryota; Metazoa; Arthropoda; Insecta; Lepidoptera; Drepanidae. The record is from RNAcentral.